RNAcentral lists this ribosomal RNA (213 nucleotides) under uncultured bacterium. Its description in RNAcentral is "partial 16S ribosomal RNA". It matches the Rfam family "Bacterial small subunit ribosomal RNA", at positions 28 to 218 of the family's 1533-position model. The record is from RNAcentral.
GACGAACGCUGGCGGCGUGCUUAACACAUGCAAGUCGAGCGGUAAGGCCCUUUCGGGGGUACGACGAGCGGCGAACGGGUAGGAGUAACACGUGGGUGGACCUGCCCUCCAGCUCUGGGAGUAAAGCCUGGGAAACGUAGGGUCGUAAUACCGGAGUAUGACCUGCUGCUUCAUGGUGGUGGGUGGAAAGUGCAGUAACAUUGUUACUGUUUC